GGGUGUGUAGCUCAGGUGGUAGAGCACUUGACUUUUAAUCAAGUUGUCCGGGGUUCGAAUCCCCGCACGC
RNAcentral lists this transfer RNA (70 nucleotides) under Anaerostipes hadrus. RNAcentral's name for it is "tRNA-Lys". It matches the Rfam family "tRNA". From Rfam's summary of the family: Transfer RNA (tRNA) molecules are approximately 80 nucleotides in length. Their secondary structure includes four short double-helical elements and three loops (D, anti-codon, and T loops). Lineage: Bacteria; Bacillati; Bacillota; Clostridia; Lachnospirales; Lachnospiraceae. The record is from RNAcentral.